RNAcentral lists this ribosomal RNA (253 nucleotides) under uncultured bacterium. RNAcentral's name for it is "partial 16S ribosomal RNA". It matches the Rfam family "Bacterial small subunit ribosomal RNA", at positions 524 to 776 of the family's 1533-position model. The record is from RNAcentral.
UACGAAGGGGGCUAGCGUUGCUCGGAAUUACUGGGCGUAAAGGGCGCGUAGGCGGACAGUUUAGUCAGAGGUGAAAGCCCAGGGCUCAACCUUGGAAUUGCCUUUGAUACUGGCUGUCUUGAGUUCGGGAGAGGUAAGUGGAAUGCCGAGUGUAGAGGUGAAAUUCGUAGAUAUUCGGCGGAACACCAGUGGCGAAGGCGACUUACUGGCCCGAUACUGACGCUGAGGCGCGAAAGCGUGGGGAGCAAACAGG